AAGAAGAAGAAGAAAAAAA
This 19-nucleotide small RNA is filed under the name Arabidopsis thaliana (thale cress). Its description in RNAcentral is "ATSL146930". Lineage: Eukaryota; Viridiplantae; Streptophyta; Magnoliopsida; Brassicales; Brassicaceae. The record is from RNAcentral.